Molecule: ribosomal RNA, 766 nt
Filed under: uncultured Candidatus Poseidoniales archaeon
Lineage: Archaea; Methanobacteriati; Thermoplasmatota; Candidatus Poseidoniia; Candidatus Poseidoniales
Description: bacterial SSU rRNA
Rfam family: Archaeal small subunit ribosomal RNA
Source: RNAcentral
CAUAGUCCACUACGCCUGGAACGGUGAGUGGAUCAAAGCUCAGGCGGCAUAGGAUGGGCCUGCGGCGUAUCAGGUUGUAGGGGGUGUAAAGUACCCUCUAGCCAUCUACGCGUACGGGUGUUGGGAGACAUAGCCCGGAGAUGGAUUCUGAGACACGAAUCCAGACCCUACGGGGUGCAGCAGGCGCGAAAACUUGACAAUGCGAGCAAUCGUGAUCAGGGAACUCCAAGUGGCUGGGGUAAGACCCAGUCUUUUCAUAACUCUUCAAAGGUUGUAGAAUAAGGGGUGGGUAAGGACGGUGCCAGCCGCCGCGGUAAUACCGGCGCCUCAAGUGGUAGUCGCUUUUAUUGGGCCUAAAACGUCCGUAGCCGGUUUGGUACAUUCGUGGGUAAAUCAACUCGCUCAACGAGUUGAAUUCUGCGAGGACGGCCAAACUUGGGACCGGGAGAGGUGUGGGGUACUCUCAGGGUAGGGGUAAAAUCCUGUCAUCCUGAGAGGACCACCUGUUGCGAAGGCGCCACACUAGAACGGAUCCGACGGUCAGGGACGAAGCCUAGGGGCACGAACCGGAUUAGAUACCCGGGUAGUCCUAGGUGUAAACGCUGUGGACUUGAUGUUGGAGAAGCUCCGAGCUUCUUCAGUGUCGAAGCGAAGGUGAUAAGUCCACUGCCUGGGAAGUACGGUCGCAAGGCUGAAACUUAAAGGAAUUGGCGGGGGAGCACCGCAACCUGAGGAUUGUGCGGUUUAAUUGGACUCAACGCCGGGA